CGGAAAUUGGCGGGUGGUGGACGGAAGAGAGGGUACUUGGAGCUAGAGAAGCAAGGAGGAGGCAAGAGCAGACGGGAGUUAGCUUCCUGAAGCGACUCCAGCGCGCUUCCCUCCUUUCUAAAGAGGCCAGUUGUGUGUUCCCUGACUUUAUCCCCACGGGAUAGAAGGAAAGUCUGUCCUGACUCUGCGUCAGGAGUUGAAGCAAGAAAAGCUUCUUGUGCUCCUGUGUGCUUACGGGAACGCAAGGUUCAAAUCUCUGUUUAGAUCCUGGCUUCCCCAAGGAUUGUGUGAUCUUGAGCGAGUUAUUUAGUAGCUUCUUUCUGUUGAAUGUCCACCGUGUUCCAGGAGCUUUGUGUUUAUUACUUCAUUUAAUUCUCACAGUAAUCCCGCGAGGUAAAUAGUUCUGUCCGGUGCUGCUCAAAAGCUGAGAGGCAGUGUGGGCAUGACAAGGUUCGUGGGCUGGAGAUUCAAAUGGCCUCCUUUUGAAUCCUGGCUUUAUUACUUAAUAAUUAUGUGACCUUGGCCCUGAGCUAACAUCCGUGCCCAUCUUCCUCUACUUUAUAUGUGGGACACCUACCACAGCAUGGCUUGCCAAGCAGUGCUAUGUCUGCACCCAGGAUCCGAACCGGCAAACCCUGGGCCGCCAAAGCAGAACAUGCAAACUUAACUGCUGUACCAGCUCCCUAGUAAAGUGAUUUUUAAAAAUUACUUUAAUUACAAAAGAUGGACAUUCAUUGUAUAAAUGGAAAAUACAAAUAAGUAAAAAAGAAGUUAAUCAACAAAUCCUACCAUGCAAAAAAAAAUCUCCAUGGACAUUUUGAUUUAGACUUCCAGACAUUUUUUAUUUAUAUUUAGACUUAUUUAACAUACAAUUUUAUAACAUGCUAUUUCAUGAAGAGCCAUAUUUUUAUUUUUAAAAAUGACAAAGAAAAAAGUAUAGCUAAAUCUUUAUUUCAGUUUUUAAAAAUAUGUCUUGACUAAUAUCCAACAAGGGACUAAUCUCCAAAAUAUAUAAGGAACUCAUACAACUCAACAACAACUCAAAAACAAAUAACCUGAACAAAAAAUGGGCAGAGGAUAUGAACAGACAUUUUUCCAAAGAAUAUAUACAGACGGCCAAUAGGCACAUGAAAAGAUAUUCAACAUCACUGGUCAUUAGGAAAUGCAAAUCAAAACU
RNAcentral lists this long non-coding RNA (1177 nucleotides) under Equus caballus (horse). RNAcentral describes it as "lncRNA (ENSECAG00000053411.1)". Lineage: Eukaryota; Metazoa; Chordata; Mammalia; Perissodactyla; Equidae. The record is from RNAcentral.